This 253-nucleotide ribosomal RNA is filed under the name uncultured bacterium. RNAcentral's name for it is "partial 16S ribosomal RNA". It matches the Rfam family "Bacterial small subunit ribosomal RNA", at positions 524 to 776 of the family's 1533-position model. The record is from RNAcentral.
UACGUAGGGUCCGAGCGUUGUCCGGAAUUACUGGGCGUAAAGAGCUCGUAGGUGGUUUGUCGCGUUGUUCGUGAAAACUCACAGCUCAACUGUGGGCGUGCGGGCGAUACGGGCAGACUGGAGUACUGCAGGGGAGACUGGAAUUCCUGGUGUAGCGGUGGAAUGCGCAGAUAUCAGGAGGAACACCGGUGGCGAAGGCGGGUCUCUGGGCAGUAACUGACGCUGAGGAGUGAAAGCGUGGGGAGCGAACAGG